Triticum urartu is the source of this 1340-nucleotide non-coding RNA. The record is from RefSeq and is a predicted model, not a curated record. Lineage: Eukaryota; Viridiplantae; Streptophyta; Magnoliopsida; Poales; Poaceae.
UGAAAGCCAUGAAUCUUCACCCAUGAUAGCUCAUUUCUGAGAUCAUUUGAAAAAACUAUGCCAUGAAUGCAGUCAGGAACAAGCUCUUGUUCCUGUAACUGUCUGUCCUGGUGUUAAGGAAAUCGCAUGGUUGGUAUGAAUUGUACAAGUAGGAUAACGAAUUUCAUUUUCUCUUUCCCCUUAACUGUGUAAGUAACUGAACCAGGAUUAAGCAAACCACUAGCUUUGCCCCUGUUUCUGUGACCUUACCAUACCUGUAUGUCUAUUGCGUUAAUUCUUGUCUUGGAUUAUUGAUUAGCAGCAGGCGUUUCAGAUGUAGUGGGGUUGUGUCGUGGGUACCUGGGUAACUAAAAUUGCUUCUGUUCUGUAACUGUAUGCUUCUAGGAAUGUCACAUUGCAACAUGCAGACUAUGGGUCUAGAUCUGGCAGUUGAAAGUGCUUAAUCUUUCUAUAAGUUUCAACUGAAGCUAUUUGUAUACAAUAAUUUACCAAAUAAGCAAACUUAUGUGAAUAUACUACACUUGAUGUUGAUCAUCUGGUGCAUUAGUAUGCAGUUCUCAUUGUCAGUUCUUGUUUUCUUGAUUCAUUUAUACUAUAUGAUUCAGGUUUUAUACUUUGCCAAUAGGUAGCUCAUACUGCCCGCUUCCUUCUGCUUUGAAUAUUGUGGUCUGCAUGCUUUAGUCACUGUGCCCUUAGUUCUUUUUUGUAGGGAGCUAUGCUUAUCAUCAGAAACUCUUGGUGAUAAUGUUAUUCCUCUUUUGGUUCAUGUGUUGCAAUUAUAUACCACAUAAUUCUGCACCAUGUGGUGCACUUAAGUAUCUUAGUGACUUCAUUUGAUGUGUGUAUUUCUGUUAAUUUUAAGCUUCUGUUGCUGUGAAAAUGUACCUCACUGACCAUUUGUCUAUUUAUUGUGUACUUCUUGCAUGAGGAGGUGACUAGUGAUGCGGCGCGCCAAGCAGCAGUAGGGGAAGGGGGUCUCCUGAUCAAGGAGGCGGAGGAGUAGGGGCGUGCCCAGCCGGCAGCCCUGUCCUGCUCGUGGGGGAGGGGCAGGAGGGGUCUGCUCCUCUGCUUCCAUUGCGACCGCGGCAGAUGCCUUGGUUCAGCCUCUACAAACAUACCCGAAAAUGGUGUUUCCUCUCAUUUACAAGAGCUCCAGCAAAGUGAACUAGGAAGUAUAUUUGAAGUUCAAAGCCGUGUAGCAAAGAGUUAUAUGUUCUGUCUUAUGUGUAAUAGACUGGAAAGAUUUGAAUAAUAUUGUAAUAGACUAUGUACAGAUUGUAGUUGACUUAUUUAUCCUUCUUUGACGAACUACAUUUGUUAUGUUCUGUUUGAAAUAUUCA